RNAcentral lists this non-coding RNA (62 nucleotides) under Lankesteria abbotti. The record is from RNAcentral. Lineage: Eukaryota; Apicomplexa; Conoidasida; Eugregarinorida; Lecudinidae.
UUUUUUUUUUUUUUUUUUUUUUUUUUUUUUUUUUUUUUUUUUGAACUCAAGAAUUUUAUGGA